UAACCUUUAGCCAUUAAACAAGUAUUAAAGGCAACGCCUGCCCAGUGAAUAAUUAAACGGCCGCGGUACCCUAACCGUGCAAAGGUAGCAUAAUCAUUUGUCUAUUAAUUGUAGACCUGUAUGAAAGGCAAAAUGAGGGUUUAACUGUCUCUUAUAGUAAAUCAAUUAAACUGAUCUUCUAGUCAAAAAGCUAGGAUAACCACAUAAGACCAGAAGACCCUGUGAAGCUUAAACUAAACUGUUAAACCAUAUAAUAAUUACUUUCGGUUGGGGCGACCUUGGAAAAAAAAAGAACUUCCAAACACAGUGACCAUAAACCACCACAUACGGCCUACAAGCCUACAAACUUUUUAGACCCAGCAAUGCUGAUAAAUGAACCAAGUUACUCCAGGGAUAACAGCGCCAUCUUCUUUAAGAGCCCAUAUCAAAAAGAAGGCUUACGACCUCGAUGUUGGAUCAGGACAUCCUAAUGGUGCAGCCGCUAUUAAAGGUUCGUUUGUUCAACGAUUAACAGU
This 515-nucleotide ribosomal RNA is filed under the name Chlorosoma viridissimum (common green racer). RNAcentral describes it as "Chlorosoma viridissima (Common green racer) partial large subunit ribosomal RNA". It matches the Rfam family "Bacterial large subunit ribosomal RNA", at positions 1816 to 2594 of the family's 2925-position model. The record is from RNAcentral. Lineage: Eukaryota; Metazoa; Chordata; Lepidosauria; Squamata; Dipsadidae.